Chelmon rostratus (copperband butterflyfish) is the source of this 706-nucleotide non-coding RNA. NCBI's taxonomy places the organism in Eukaryota, Metazoa, Chordata, Actinopteri, Chaetodontiformes, Chaetodontidae. The record is from the annotation of a RefSeq genome assembly.
GGCUGCUGUGGCAGCACCUCAUUUUGAAAAGAUCACCAUGACGACUCAAAUUGUCUUCGCAUUUGUAGUCUCGUCUCUGUGGCUUCAAGUCCACUGCCAGGAUGUGACCCAGUACCCUGAAAUCAGAUGGAGCUAUUCGGAUAAAUCUGCGGAGAUGAACUGCAGCCACAAGAGAGAUGCAAGUCAUACCCAGAUGGACUGGUACAGGCAGCGUCCAGGGGAGACCAUGACCCUCAUUGUCUACACAGCUUUGGGUGGACAGCCAGACUACGGCGCGGGCCCUCAAGCCAAAUACUCAGCCAUCAAAGAGACCAUAGAGAGCGGGGCUCUUACUGUGAAAGACUUGAAGCUUGACGACAGCGGUGUGUAUUUUUGUGCUGUCAGUGUUUGUCUGGGUCUUGAGGUCCGUCAGUCUCCCUCUGAUCUCGUCACAAAACCUGGUGACAAAGUGCAGAUUUUCUGCACCCAUGGUAAAACUGACUACAGGAUGAUGCUCUGGUACCAGUGCUCACCUGGAGACACGGCUAUGAAACUCAUUGGAUAUUUGCACUACCAAGAUGUGAAAAUGGAAGAGCCAUAUAAAGAGGAUUUUAGUAUGUCUGGUGACUUGGGUGGAGAUAAAACUAAGAAUGGCUCUCUCAUCACCCAAGUCACAGGAGUUGAACAGGAUGCAGUUUACUAUUGUGCAGCUAGCAAAGCACGCUGA